GCGCGUGCUAUACAUGCAAGUCGAGCGAACUGAUUAGAAGCUUGCUUCUAUGACGUUAGCGGCGGACGGGUGAGUAACACGUGGGCAACCUGCCUGUAAGACUGGGAUAACUUCGGGAAACCGAAGCUAAUACCGGAUAGGAUCUUCUCCUUCAUGGGAGAUGAUUGAAAGAUGGUUUCGGCUAUCACUUACAGAUGGGCCCGCGGUGCAUUAGCUAGUUGGUGAGGUAACGGCUCACCAAGGCAACGAUGCAUAGCCGACCUGAGAGGGUGAUCGGCCACACUGGGACUGAGACACGGCCCAGACUCCUACGGGAGGCAGCAGUAGGGAAUCUUCCGCAAUGGACGAAAGUCUGACGGAGCAACGCCGCGUGAGUGAUGAAGGCUUUCGGGUCGUAAAACUCUGUUGUUAGGGAAGAACAAGUACGAGAGUAACUGCUCGUACCUUGACGGUACCUAACCAGAAAGCCACGGCUAACUACGUGCCAGCAGCCGCGGUAAUACGUAGGUGGCAAGCGUUAUCCGGAAUUAUUGGGCGUAAAGCGCGCGCAGGCGGUUUCUUAAGUCUGAUGUGAAAGCCCACGGCUCAACCGUGGAGGGUCAUUGGAAACUGGGGAACUUGAGUGCAGAA
This 630-nucleotide ribosomal RNA is filed under the name Bacillus sp. JDM-K-1(5847). RNAcentral describes it as "bacterial SSU rRNA". It matches the Rfam family "Bacterial small subunit ribosomal RNA", at positions 42 to 653 of the family's 1533-position model. Lineage: Bacteria; Bacillati; Bacillota; Bacilli; Caryophanales; Bacillaceae. The record is from RNAcentral.